UAUGGCGACCGGCGCACGGGUGAGUAACACGUAUCCAACCUGCCGAUGACUCGGGGAUAGCCUUUCGAAAGAAAGAUUAAUACCCGAUGGCAUAGUUCUUCCGCAUGGUAGAACUAUUAAAGAAUUUCGGUCAUCGAUGGGGAUGCGUUCCAUUAGCUUGUUGGCGGGGUAACGGCCCACCAAGGCAUCGAUGGAUAGGGGUUCUGAGAGGAAGGUCCCCCACAUUGGAACUGAGACACGGUCCAAACUCCUACGGAAGGCAGCAG
This 266-nucleotide ribosomal RNA is filed under the name uncultured bacterium. Its description in RNAcentral is "partial 16S ribosomal RNA". It matches the Rfam family "Bacterial small subunit ribosomal RNA", at positions 87 to 354 of the family's 1533-position model. The record is from RNAcentral.